CGCGUUUUCAACAUUUCCCCCCAAAAUUUUCCCCCUUGCUCUUUCCCUCAAACAUCUCCUUCCCCCAUAUCCGGCCGAUCUCCUCCUUCUCCGGCGCUCCGACCGCAAAUUUGCCCAUCUCCACCGCCGACCGAUAUCCCCCCAUUUUCCGACAGAUCUCCUCCCUUUUCCGGCGCCGACCGCAAAUCUGCCCAUCUUCACCAUAGGACUGAGCUCCCCCCAUUUUCCGGCAGAUCUCCUCCCUCUUCCGGCGCCGACCCAUGAUUUCUGCCAGUCUCCACCGCUGACCGAGCUCUCCACUUCCUUCGCCGACUGAGCUCUCAAUUUUCGGCGCCGACCGAUCUCAGCCCGUCUCCAAGAUAUGCAGAAAAUUGACAAAAUGUAUGCUGCUUUUACUGGCCAACCUCUAGAGAAAAUGCAACAAUACACUGAAAGGGAUCGUUUCCUGUCUGUUUUUGAGGCUAUGGAGUUUGGACUUAUCGGUGGCAUGUUAGAAAUAGAAUAUUGAAUUCAUGAUUCUCUACCAAACCAUCUUAUGCCUUCAUAACAUCAUACUGCAAUUUGCUAUCAAACUGACAGACCCGGGUUGCCUUCAAUGAUAAUUUGCCCAUGAUAUAUGUCAAGGGUGCUUGUACCAGAGAUUGCCCACAUGUAUAAGACUGACCAGGCCAAGUAAGAAGCCACUGCAUGCAGCUGGACCCAGAAGUAUGCUAUGGGAUGAUCGUUGUUAAGACGGCAGAUUUGGAUUUUGCAUUACGAAGGAAUGUGUAAUCAUGCCUUUGUUUUCUCUUCCUGUUGCUAGUUGUUUAUUUUAGGGGUGUUGGGAGAAGAUUGAGGUGGGGCUAGCAUUUUGGUCAGAACAAUUCUCUGCUGUCAAUUUGUAUAACCGAAGGUGGGAACAGUUUAUGCACACUUGUUUGAAGCUGUUAUCUCUGGCAAUGUAGAAAUAUUCACUAGUGUAUUGCAAACU
Alnus glutinosa is the source of this 970-nucleotide long non-coding RNA. RefSeq lists it as uncharacterized. The transcript has 3 exons. NCBI's taxonomy places the organism in Eukaryota, Viridiplantae, Streptophyta, Magnoliopsida, Fagales, Betulaceae. The record is from RefSeq and is a predicted model, not a curated record.